GCAGCAAACGCUCGCCGAGAAGUUUGGAGACACGUUGCUUCAGGAGCUCAUCAAUGUGGAGAGCCUGGCACGUCUUAGCUCUUACUACCAGCAGUUCAAAGAGGUUUUACCUGAUGACUGUCUUCCUCGCUCUCGUAGUCAGACGUGCCUCCCAGAGCUGUUGCGGUUCCUUGGUCAAAAUGUUCAUGCUAGG
This is a long non-coding RNA of Sinocyclocheilus anshuiensis, 193 nucleotides long. RefSeq lists it as uncharacterized. The transcript has 3 exons. Lineage: Eukaryota; Metazoa; Chordata; Actinopteri; Cypriniformes; Cyprinidae. The record is from RefSeq and is a predicted model, not a curated record.